RNAcentral lists this long non-coding RNA (400 nucleotides) under Mus pahari (shrew mouse). Its description in RNAcentral is "lncRNA (MGP_PahariEiJ_G0002491.1)". Lineage: Eukaryota; Metazoa; Chordata; Mammalia; Rodentia; Muridae. The record is from RNAcentral.
ACAACCCCCAGAAGUCUUCUGAAGCAGCUGUUCAUGUGCUGACACAAGUCAGCCAACUCACAGAGGCGCGCCAAGUACCUAUGAAAAGUAAGACCAGGAGAGGGCCAGGCAGCAGGGGACUCACUGUGCAGCUCAGACUAGACUCAAUGUUGCAUCCUUCUUUGUCAUUUAUGAUUCCAGUCCAAAGAAUGAGAUGGGAAACCAUGAAAGACCCACACAGCUAUGUUGCGGAUUCUUAGGAACAAGAAUCCUGUACUGGAGGAGGCAGCAAAAGGUCAGCUCAAAAGGAAAACGAGACCAGCUUGGUAACCCCUGAGAAGGCUCUGUGCAUGUGGUCUUGUGUACACAAACAGACAUGAAGCCUGAGAGCAAAGCUGAGAAAUACAAUCACUGUAGUUUC